RNAcentral lists this ribosomal RNA (409 nucleotides) under uncultured bacterium. RNAcentral's name for it is "bacterial SSU rRNA". It matches the Rfam family "Bacterial small subunit ribosomal RNA", at positions 33 to 486 of the family's 1533-position model. The record is from RNAcentral.
UACGCUGGCGGCACGCCUAACACAUGCAAGUCGAACGAAGUAGCAAUACUUAGUGGCAGACGGGUGAGUAACAUGUGGGUAUCUGCCCUUUGGCCUGGAAUAACACGAGGAAACUUGUGCUAAUACCGGAUAAGUCUUUACGGAGAAAGCUUUAUGCACCAUUGGAUGAGCCCGCACUUGAUUAGUUUGUUGGUAGGGUAAUGGCCUACCAAGACUGUGAUCAAUAGCUGAUUUGAGAGGAUGAUCAGCCACAUUGGGACUGAGACACGGCCCAAACUCCUACGGGAGGCAGCAGUGGGGAAUCUUGCACAAUGGAGGAAACUCUGAUGCAGCGAUGCCGCGUGAGUGAAGAAGGCCUUUGGGUUGUAAAGCUCUUUCGUCGGGGAAGAAAAUGACUGUACCCGAAUAA